This 460-nucleotide ribosomal RNA is filed under the name uncultured bacterium. Its description in RNAcentral is "partial 16S ribosomal RNA". It matches the Rfam family "Bacterial small subunit ribosomal RNA", at positions 338 to 795 of the family's 1533-position model. The record is from RNAcentral.
CCUACGGGUGGCAGCAGUGAGGAAUAUUGGUCAAUGGGCGCGAGCCUGAACCAGCCAAGUCGCGUGAGGGAGGACGGCCCUAUGGGUUGUAAACCUCUUUUGCCGGGGAGCAACGUGCGCCACGUGUGGCGUCCCUGAUAGUCCCCGGAGACAAAGCAUCGGCUAACUCCGUGCCAGCAGCCGCGGUAAUACGGAGGAUGCGAGCGUUAUCCGGAUUUAUUGGGUUUACAGGGUGCGUAGGCGGAUCGUUAAGUCAGUGGUCAAAUUGAGGGGCUCAACCCCUGCCCGCCAUUGAAACUGGCGUUCUGGAGUGGAAGAGAAGUAGGCGGAAUGCGUGGUGUAGCGGUGAAAUGCAUAGAUAUCACGCAGAACCCCGAUUGCGAAGGCAGCAUGCCGGCUUACGACUGACGCUGAAGCACGAAAGCGUGGGGAUCGAACAGGAUUAGAUACCCCGGUAGUC